This 170-nucleotide ribosomal RNA is filed under the name Bacillus pacificus. RNAcentral describes it as "partial 16S ribosomal RNA". It matches the Rfam family "Bacterial small subunit ribosomal RNA", at positions 1373 to 1533 of the family's 1533-position model. Lineage: Bacteria; Bacillati; Bacillota; Bacilli; Caryophanales; Bacillaceae. The record is from RNAcentral.
CCCGGGCCUUGUACACACCGCCCGUCACACCACGAGAGUUUGUAACACCCGAAGUCGGUGGGGUAACCUUUUGGAGCCAGCCGCCUAAGGUGGGACAGAUGAUUGGGGUGAAGUCGUAACAAGGUAGCCGUAUCGGAAGGUGCGGCUGGAUCACCUCCUUUCUAUGGAGA